Molecule: ribosomal RNA, 465 nt
Filed under: uncultured bacterium
Lineage: Bacteria
Description: partial 16S ribosomal RNA
Rfam family: Bacterial small subunit ribosomal RNA
Source: RNAcentral
CUACGGGUGGCUCCAGUGGGGAAUAUUGGACAAUGGGGGAAACCCUGAUCCAGCAAUGCCGCGUGUGUGAAGAAGGCCUGCGGGUUGUAAAGCACUUUCGGUUGGGAGGACUGCUUCUAGCACUAAUAUUGUUGGAAGUUGACGUUACCUUCGGAAGAAGCACCGGCUAACUCCGUGCCAGCAGCCGCGGUAAUACGGGGGGUGCAAGCGUUAAUCGGAAUUACUGGGCGUAAAGCGCGCGUAGGCGGCUAGAUCAGUCGGGUGUGAAAGCCCCGGGCUUAACCUGGGAACUGCAUCCGAUACUGUCUAGCUUGAGUACAGGAGAGGAGAGUGGAAUUCCACAUGUAGCGGUGAAAUGCGUAGAUAUGUGGAGGAACACCAAUGGCGAAGGCAGCUCUCUGGCCUGAUACUGACGCUGAGGUGCGAAAGCGUGGGGAGCAAACAGGAUUAGAUACCCGCGUAGUC